Molecule: ribosomal RNA, 466 nt
Filed under: uncultured bacterium
Lineage: Bacteria
Description: partial 16S ribosomal RNA
Rfam family: Bacterial small subunit ribosomal RNA
Source: RNAcentral
GAUGAACGCUGGCGGCGUGCUUAACACAUGCAAGUCGAACGAUGAAGCCCAGCUUGCUGGGUGGAUUAGUGGCGAACGGGUGAGUAACACGUGAGUAACCUGCCCUUGACUCUGGGAUAAGCCUGGGAAACUGGGUCUAAUACUGGAUAUGACUUCUCAUCGCAUGGUGGGGGGUGGAAAGAUUUAUUGGUCUUGGAUGGACUCGAGGCCUAUCAGCUUGUUGGUGAGGUAAUGGCUCACCAAGGCGACGACGGGUAGCCGGCCUGAGAGGGUGACCGGCCACACUGGGACUGAGACACGGCCCAGACUCCUACGGGAGGCAGCAGUGGGGAAUAUUGCACAAUGGGCGCAAGCCUGAUGCAGCGACGCCGCGUGAGGGAUGACGGCCUUCGGGUUGUAAACCUCUUUCAGUAGGGAAGAAGCGAGAGUGACGGUACCUGCAGAAGAAGCGCCGGCUAACUACGUG